Molecule: long non-coding RNA, 1233 nt
Filed under: Anas platyrhynchos platyrhynchos (common mallard)
Lineage: Eukaryota; Metazoa; Chordata; Aves; Anseriformes; Anatidae
Description: lncRNA (ENSAPLG00000026868.1)
Source: RNAcentral
GUUCUGGCUGAUGAUAAUCUGGUAAUUCUUGUUCAAUUUGCUUCCACUACAAUCAAUUAUUUGUGUUUGUUUUGGUUAUGAGGAAACGUGUUGUGAUAACUUCCUUUAGCUGCUCAAAAUGUAAUACCAAACUCCCUGCUGGCAUGACUUCAAAAGCAGAGUUGUGCCAGCAGAUAAUUUGGCCUAGAUUAUUUUUAAGAAGGUUGUCAGUCUUGUUUUUCUCUAUUACAUGCUUACUGUGGUUAUAUUCAACACUUAUUCUCCUGAUUGCAGCUCUAACUCUGAAUGAAUACCGUGGAGAAAUCAUUUGACCUGUGCUGAGACAGAGGCAGCCCCCCUCACAGAGCUGGUUGAAAACAAGAAUGAUUCAUUUAUCUAGACUGUACUACUAGACAUCUCAAAAUGCUUCCCAGAAAAAAAGAGAACAUUAAAAACACGAACAGCAAAAGCCUGGUAAAAGUUGUAACCAGCUCUGACUGUCCAUGGUAUGACAGCCAACAAAUAUCACCUGCUGAUGAUUUACAGAUUCCUGGGAGAUGUGGUGUUGAGUCUCAAAGAACUGGAAUGAGAACAACUCACUCAACGUGCUUCUCAGGAAACAAUGUAAUGUAUCCACCCGUUUCAUGCUCUCCUAAUUUAGGACAUGUGUAGUGUGUAAUGAUGAAUAGGCCAACUGGUUAUGUUGCUGUAAAUCUCAUUCUCCACCUUACUAAGCACCCUUGAUUGACCCCAUCUUUUGUGAAAGCUCAGCCCAGGGUUUUCAUUUCACCUCUUGGGAAGGAGAAAUCACGCUAACUGUUUGCAAACAUGCUUCUGCAGAGAGAAAAAAUACAAUGUUUUGUUGUUUUUAUUUCAUUGGGCAGCCUUUUAAAGUGCUGUGACCCACUUUUGCCUCCCUUUAAACUGUGACCAGUAUUUAUUUAUCCCUUUUUAAACACAGUAAUUUAAUUAAGAAACUAAUCAGCAGUGUUGAAAUGAUCUUUGAACUACACCUUUAUCACUGAAAGAAAUUUAUGAAUGCAUAAUACAAGAAAGAUUCUAUUACCUAAAAAGCUUUCUACUAAAAUGAUUUGGCAUCUGAAAAGCAAGGCUUGAAAUUCUGCACUAAAUUUACAAUAUGGAGAUGUGAAAAUUAUUUAUAGACUCUGAAAGAUGUUCCAACUGAAUCUGACAAGAUUGUCUGGAUUGUUUAUUAAGAAUAAAACUGUUUCAAGUUCAAAGGAUUUUGGAAGU